This 495-nucleotide ribosomal RNA is filed under the name uncultured bacterium. RNAcentral's name for it is "bacterial SSU rRNA". It matches the Rfam family "Bacterial small subunit ribosomal RNA", at positions 34 to 507 of the family's 1533-position model. The record is from RNAcentral.
CGUUAGCGGCGGGCCUAACACAUGCAAGUCGAACGCGAAAGGUCUUCGGACUGAGUAGAGUGGCGCACGGGUGAGUAACACGUAGGUAAUCUACCCUUUGGCGGGGGAUAACGUUCCGAAAGGAGCGCUAAUACCGCAUAAGACCACGGAGUCUCCGGACGCUGUGGGAAAAGGUGGCCUCUUCUUGAAAGCUACCACCGAAGGAUGAGCCUGCGUCCCAUCAGCUAGUUGGUAAGGUAAUGGCUUACCAAGGCGAAGACGGGUAGCUGGUUUGAGAGAAUGAUCAGCCACACUGGCACUGGAACACGGGCCAGACUCCUACGGGAGGCAGCAGUGAGGAAUAUUGGGCAAUGGGCGAAAGCCUGACCCAGCCACGCCGCGUGAGUGAUGAAGGCCCUCGGGUCGUAAAGCUCUGUGGAGAGGGACGAAAACCCUGGUUUCAAAUAGGCUCCAGGCUUGACGGUACCUCUUUAGCAAGCACCGGCUAACUCUGUG